GAGUUUGAUCNUGGCUCAGAACGAACGCUGGCGGCAGGCCUAACACAUGCAAGUCGAGCGCGCCUUUCGGGGUGAGCGGCGGACGGGUUAGUAACGCGUGGGAAUAUGCCCUUUGGUACGGAAUAGCCUCUGGAAACGGAGAGUAAUACCGUAUGCGCCCUUCGGGGGAAAGAUUUAUCGCCAAAGGAUUAGCCCGCGUUAGAUUAGGUAGUUGGUGGGGUAAUGGCCUACCAAGCCUACGAUCUAUAGCUGGUUUUAGAGGAUGAUCAGCAACACUGGGACUGAGACACGGCCCAGACUCCUACGGGAGGCAGCAGUGGGGAAUCUUGGACAAUGGGGGCAACCCUGAUCCAGCCAUGCCGCGUGAGUGAUGAAGGCCUUAGGGUCGUAAAGCUCUUUCGCCUGUGAAGAUAAUGACGGUAGCAGGUAAAGAAACCCCGGCUAACUCCGUGCCAGCAGCCGCGGUAAUACGGAGGGGGUUAGCGUUGUUCGGAAUUACUGGGCGUAAAGCGCACGUAGGCGGAUCGGAAAGUUGGGGGUGAAAUCCCGGGGCUCAACCCCGGAACUGCCUCCAAAACUAUCGGUCUAGAGUUCGAGAGAGGUGAGUGGAAUUCCGAGUGUAGAGGUGAAAUUCGUAGAUAUUCGGAGGAACACCAGUGGCGAAGGCGGCUCACUGGCUCGAUACCGACGGUGAGGUGCGAAAGUGUGGGGAGCAAACAGGAUUAGAUACCGUGGUAGUC
RNAcentral lists this ribosomal RNA (740 nucleotides) under uncultured marine bacterium. RNAcentral's name for it is "bacterial SSU rRNA". It matches the Rfam family "Bacterial small subunit ribosomal RNA", at positions 9 to 795 of the family's 1533-position model. The record is from RNAcentral.